This 453-nucleotide long non-coding RNA is filed under the name Homo sapiens (human). RNAcentral describes it as "HSALNT0076281". The record is from RNAcentral. Lineage: Eukaryota; Metazoa; Chordata; Mammalia; Primates; Hominidae.
GGCGGGGCCAACGGUGUGUUGGGGGGCGGGGGUGUGUGUGUGAGAUUGAGAGAGAGGCUGUGUGUAUGUAUGAGGGAUAUUGUGUGUGCGUAAGAGACCGUUAGAGAGUGUGAGAGAGACGCUGAGCGUGAUUUGUGUGUGUGUGUGAGAGAGAUUCUAUAUAAAAGAAACUGCGUAUAAGAGAUUGUAUGCACUUUGGGAGGCCGAGGCGGGCAGAUAGCUUGAGCCCAGGAGUUGGAGACCAGCCUGGGCAACCCCAUCUCUACUAAAAAUAGAAUUAGGCGGGCGUGGUGGCGGCAGUGUGGUCCCAGCUACUCAGGAGGCUGAGGUGGGAGGAUCGUCUCAGCGCGGGAAGUCGAGGCUGCAGUGAGCAGAGAUCACACCACUGCACUCCAGCGUGGGCGACAGAACCAGACCCCGUUUCAGAGAGAGAGAGAGAGAGAGAGAGGAGGG